GGGCGGCUAGUUCAGUGGUAGAACGCUGUCCUGAUAAGACAGAGGUCGGAGGUUCGAUCCCUCCGCCGCCCACCA
RNAcentral lists this transfer RNA (75 nucleotides) under Candidatus Yanofskybacteria bacterium RIFCSPHIGHO2_01_FULL_45_42. Its description in RNAcentral is "tRNA-Ile". It matches the Rfam family "tRNA". From Rfam's summary of the family: Transfer RNA (tRNA) molecules are approximately 80 nucleotides in length. Their secondary structure includes four short double-helical elements and three loops (D, anti-codon, and T loops). RNAcentral also lists the same sequence under 3 other names. Lineage: Bacteria; Candidatus Yanofskyibacteriota. The record is from RNAcentral.